CUUUUACCCCCUGGGGGUGGCCUCACUUCCUCUGGGGGCUCUGACAGCUCUCUGGCCUGUCUUCAGCUUAGAAAUCUGCAAAAGUCAUUGGCCAGGCUCAGGAGAACUAAUCCUUUGUGCCAGAGGUCCAAAGAUAGACAACUAACUCAAAAUUGUAUCUUCGCUUUAAUCACUGCUCUGGUGAUAUUUGCAUUAAUGAAAGAGAAAAGAAAGCAUCCCCAACAGAUGGAAAAGGCGGCUCUCUGACUAGUGAAAGAACAACUUCCAGUAAAAGAAGGCACUGAGGUUUAAGUGCUACGUGGGAGCAGUUGCCGAUUUUUGCAAUGGGAGGCUGCAUAGAUUCAAGUGUGAGAAUUCGAAGAGAUUCAAAGACUAUAUCACCACCAUGGUCUUGCCAGAAUCUGCCCUCUGAGUCAUUUCUUAAUCUACUGAUUAUCUGUAGAACCAGCCUUAUAUAAACAAGGAAGCAUCUAGCAGACACCUGCUGAUGGCUCACUGUGUGCCAAGUGCUGUGCUGGGCACCAGGCAUAUUGAACGGGUCCUGGUUACUGCCCUCUGGUGCUUACGCUCCAUCAAGAGAAGUAGACAGGAAGCAUCUAAUCACAGACAGAAGUUUCAUACUUAUCAGGGUGAUGUGUGCUAUCAAGAGUCAAAGGAUGUGAUGAGAGCAGGCAACAGAAGUGACAUUUGAGCUGAAACUAAGGACAAAUAGGAGAAAAGUCGGCAAAAAGAUAAGGGAGAGAGAAAUAGGGAAAAAAAGCGAUCAAAUGCCAGAAAUGGGGCUGAAAAGAUGUAGAAGUGGUUUCUAAGCAUGGGUUUAUCAUCUCUUUUCUCAUCUUUGCAUCAACUACAUGAGUUUUUCCAAGCGUGGUCUGUGAGUCUCUUGCAUCAGAAUUCCCUGGAAGUACAGUCAGUCCUCUGUGUCCACCAGUUCUGCAUCUGCAGAUUCAACCCACUGUGGAUAGAAAAUAUUGGAGGCUGGGUACAGUGGCUCAUGCCUAUAACCCCAGCACUUUGGGAGGCCGAGGUGGGUGGAUUACUUGAGGUCAGGAGUUUGAGACCAGCCUGGCCAAGAUGGUGAAACCCUGUCUGUACUAAAAAAUACAAAAAUUAGCUGGGCAUGGUGGCGCACGUCUGUAAAUCCCAGCUACUCAGGAGACUGAGGCAGGAGAAUCACUUGAACCUGGGAGACGAAGGUUGCUGUGAGCCAAGAUCGUGCCAUUGCACUCUAGCCUGGGCAACAAGAGCAAGACUCUAUCUCAAAAAAAGAAAAAGAAAAUAUUCGGAAAAAAA
Molecule: long non-coding RNA, 1293 nt
Organism: Homo sapiens (human)
Lineage: Eukaryota; Metazoa; Chordata; Mammalia; Primates; Hominidae
Gene: SPRY4-AS1
Product: SPRY4 antisense RNA 1
Source: Ensembl